GCGAAAACUUUACAAUGCGAGAAAUCGUGAUAAGGGAACUCUGAGUGCCCGUAAAAUCGGGCUGUCCAUCUGUUUAAAUAACAGGUGAAGAAAGGGCCGGGCAAGACCGGUGCCAGCCGCCGCGGUAAUACCGGCGGCUCGAGUGGUGGCCACUAUUACUGGGCUUAAAGCGUCCGUAGCUGGUCUGUUAAGUCUCUGGGGAAAUCUUCCGGCUCAACCGGAAGGCGUCUCAGGGAUACUGGCAGACUAGGGACCGGGAGAGGUGAGAGGUACUCCAGGGGUAGGAGUGAAAUCCUGUAAUCCUUGGGGGACCACCUGUGGCGAAGGCGUCUCACCAGAACGGCUCCGACAGUGAGGGACGAAAGCUGGGGGAGCAAACC
This 380-nucleotide ribosomal RNA is filed under the name uncultured prokaryote. RNAcentral describes it as "bacterial SSU rRNA". It matches the Rfam family "Archaeal small subunit ribosomal RNA", at positions 341 to 725 of the family's 1478-position model. The record is from RNAcentral.